Molecule: long non-coding RNA, 202 nt
Filed under: Amborella trichopoda
Lineage: Eukaryota; Viridiplantae; Streptophyta; Magnoliopsida; Amborellales; Amborellaceae
Description: long non-coding RNA (ATRI_LNC004564)
Source: RNAcentral
GACGACGUUAUUGUUCUUCUUGGUCACGCUGGUGCCAUUGAUUGAAUUCGUUUAACAAUUCAUUGAUUCGAUCUAAAAACGAAUCAUCGAUAUUAGCCGGCGUCUGACUAUUCCCAAAUCCCUGAGUGUUAGUGUUUUGUUGUGUUCCCAAUCUAAAAUCCCCGAAAAUUGUCCAUCCUUCAUGCUCACCUGCACUGUCGUG